CGCAGCCACUGUAAAGGUGGUUGUGUUGGUGCAGAAGUCAGCAGAGGCCAUAUUAGACAAGGAAUCCACCAUUCAUGGCGGUGUGGUGGCUGGGAACGAGCCCGGUUUAGCCGGGAUAGACUCACCCUGUCGAAGGGC
Molecule: non-coding RNA, 138 nt
Organism: Deltaproteobacteria bacterium
Lineage: Bacteria; Pseudomonadati; Myxococcota; Myxococcia
Source: Rfam